UCCGGGCCGAGUCACCUGCUUUUAAGUGACGGUAGUUUGUCAUGUGACUUCCUGUUAGGCCACUUUAGUAUUGGUGCCGUCAAUCUGUCAUUAAGUUUAUAAACAGCUGAGGUCUGGUGUAUUGUAUUCACUGCCCGAUACCGAGGUCGGGUUUGCCGCGCUCGCCGCCCGAUACCGAGGUCGGGUUUGUCGCGCUCGCCGCCCGAUACCGAGGUCGGGUUUGCCGCGCUCGCCGCCCGAUACCGAGGUCGGGUUUGCCGCGCUCGCCGCCCGAUACCGAGGUCGGGUUCACCACAUUUUGUCUCUC
This is a long non-coding RNA of Brienomyrus brachyistius, 307 nucleotides long. RefSeq lists it as uncharacterized. The transcript has 3 exons. Lineage: Eukaryota; Metazoa; Chordata; Actinopteri; Osteoglossiformes; Mormyridae. The record is from RefSeq and is a predicted model, not a curated record.